Molecule: ribosomal RNA, 752 nt
Filed under: Stephanopyxis turris
Lineage: Eukaryota; Bacillariophyta; Melosirophyceae; Stephanopyxales; Stephanopyxidaceae
Description: bacterial SSU rRNA
Rfam family: Bacterial small subunit ribosomal RNA
Source: RNAcentral
GUGCCAGCAGCCGCGGUAAGACGGAGGAUGCAAGUGUUAUCCGGAAUCACUGGGCGUAAAGCGUCUGUAGGUUGUUUAAUAAGUCAACUGUUAAAUCUUGGGGCUCAACCUCAAAAUCGCAGUCGAAACUAUUAGACUUGAGUAUAGUAGAGGUAAAGGGAAUUUCCAGUGGAGCGGUGAAAUGCGUAGAGAUUGGAAAGAACACCAAUGGCGAAGGCACUUUACUGGGCUAUUACUGACACUCAGAGACGAAAGCUAGGGUAGCAAAUGGGAUUAGAUACCCCAGUAGUCCUAGCUGUAAACAAUGGAUACUAGGUGUUGAACAGAUCGACCUGUGCAGUACCAAAGCUAACGCGUUAAGUAUCCCGCCUGGGAAGUAUGCUCGCAAGGGUGAAACUCAAAGGAAUUGACGGGGGCCCGCACAAGCGGUGGAGCAUGUGGUUUAAUUCGAUGCAACGCGAAGAACCUUACCAGGGUUUGACAUGAUACGAAUUUUUUUGAAAGAAAAAAGUGCCGUUUGGAACGUAUACACAGGUGGUGCAUGGCUGUCGUCAGCUCGUGUCGUGAGAUGUUGGGUUAAGUCCCGCAACGAGCGCAACCCUUGUUUUUAGUUGCCAUUUAUGGAACUCUAGAAAGACUGCCGGUUAUAAACCGGAGGAAGGCGGGGAUGACGUCAAGUCAGCAUGCCCCUUACACCCUGGGCUACACACGUGCUACAUUGGGCGAGACAAUGAGAUGCAACUCUGCGAAGA